RNAcentral lists this unclassified non-coding RNA (337 nucleotides) under soil metagenome. RNAcentral's name for it is "partial contains 5.8S ribosomal RNA, internal transcribed spacer 2, and large subunit ribosomal RNA". The stretch from base 1 to 120 matches the Rfam family "5.8S ribosomal RNA", at positions 35 to 154 of the family's 154-position model. The record is from RNAcentral.
GAUGAAGAACGUAGCGAAAUGCGAUAAGUAAUGUGAAUUGCAGAAUUCAGUGAAUCAUCGAAUCUUUGAACUCACAUUGCGCCCCUUGGUAUUCCGAGGGGCAUGCCUGUUCGAGCGUCAUUACACCACUCAAGCUAUGCUUGGUAUUGGGCGUCGUCCUUAGUUGGGCGCGCCUUAAAGACCUCGGCGAGGCCACUCCGGCUUUAGGCGUAGUAGAAUUUAUUCGAACGUCUGUCAAAGGAGAGGAACUCUGCCGACUGAAACCUUUAUUUUUCUAGGUUGACCUCGGAUCAGGUAGGGAUACCCGCUGAACUUAAGCAUAUCAAUAAGCGGAGGA